ACACUUGAUCUAUUUUGCAUGAUAUAUUUCUGUCCUCCUGUACGGCCAGUCUCCUCUUCACUGUACUCUGUGUAAGCUGCAUAUGAUGUGCUUGGGUGGUUUCUGGCAGACUGGACGCUCCAACCUUUGUAAACCGAUAUCUAACCAUGUGUCGACCAUGUCAAAUUAACUGCUUUAAAACAUAACCUCUGCAGCUAUGGUAAUACAGUACGUCGACAGUUUACCCGUUUAUCCACGGUCUUUCUUUACUUUGAAAUUUGAUAAGAACAAGUCUGUUUUUUUAAAUCAUAUUGAAGAUUAAAUUUUAUUCCUUCAAUGCGAGUUGUAUGAGUUCAAUCCAAUUUCUGGACAUUUUGUAAUUUCGAUUUUGAAAGAAACCUGACUUGUGAAAGUAUCCUUCAGAUCUGCAGUGUGAAACAUCAUGUCAAUGCACAAUGCUUUUCUUGAAAUUUUGUUUCAAUCACAGCAAUACGUUACCCUCAGUCUCCCCUUGGUUUUUAUUGCCUCUUCUAUAGUCACAAACUCCUAUGUUGUAUGAUAUGUGUGCUCCAUAUUCAACCUCAGGCGUAGUGGAAAGCUACGCGUUGUGAGACCCUGAUUUACCACCACUUUGAGCUUGUCACUCUCUGUCCCUCCCCCACCCCACCACUCUACACCACCUUCUCAGUGUGAACAUGCAUUCCCCGACCCCCACAAUGAACUCACCUACUUGCCUCCCCACCCACCCACAACAUCUCGUGAGCUACACAGGAAUCGAUUGAACAUAUAAUGAAUGCCAGUACCUGCUAUUUAUACAAAAACAUUCUCAUAAAGUUGCAAAGUUUAGUUGUUUAUUUUCAGUGUUUAGUUAUUCAGUACUUCUAUUCCAUUAUAUAUAAUGUACCAUGUCCCUGUUAUUUUGGAUUUUAUGGUUGGAUUACUUAAUUACAGUAGGUUGGGAUUCUAGGGCAGAAGUUCCAAAGUACCCCAAGUAUUCUUUAUUGAUUCCUCGGCAAAAUAGGUCCCCAGAACCCCAAGUAUUCUAGUAUGAAUUUCAGGACAAAAUAGGUCCCCAGAACCCCAAGUAUUCUAGUAUGAAUUUCAGGACAAAAUAGGUCCCCAGAACCCCAAGUAUUCUAGUAUGGAUUCCAGGACAAAAUAGGUCCCCAGAACCCCAAGUAUUCUAGUAUGGAUUCCAGGACAAAAUGGGUCCCCAGAACCCCAAGUAUUCUAGUAUGGAUUCCAGGACAAAAUGGGUCCCCAGAACCCCAAGUAUUCUAGUAUGGAUUCCAGGACAAAAUAGGUCCCCAGAACCCCAAGUAUUCUAGUAUGGAUUCCAGGACAAAAUAGGUCCCCAGAACCCCAGUAUUCUACCCCAAGUAUUCUAGUAUGGAUUUCAGGACAAAGUAGGUCCCCAUACCCCAGAUAGUAGACAGAGUAGGUCCACAGUACCCCAGAUAGUAGACAGAGUAGGUCCACAGUACCCCAGAUAGUAGACAGAGUAGGUCCACAGUGCCCCAGAUAGUAGACAGAGUAGGUCCACAGUACCCCAGAUAGUAGACAGAGUAGGUCCACAGUACCCCAGAUAGUAGACAGAGUAGGUCCACAGUACCCCAGAUAGUAGACAGAGUAGGUCCACAGUACCCCAGAUAGUAGACAGAGUAGGUCCACAGUACCCCAGAUAGUAGACAGAGUAGGUCCCAGUACCCCAGAUAGUAGACAGAGUAGGUCCACAGUACCCCAGAUAGUAGACAGAGUAGGUCCCAGUACCCCAGAUAGUAGACAGAGUAGGUCCACUGCAAGGAUCAGGUGGGAGCCAUGUGAAAGCUGACUGAAUGUGUGGUAUGAUGGCCAAAUAGGUCAUGCCAUCAACCUGCAGCUGAUCUUAUGAUUGACUGCAGGUUGAAUCUAGGUUGAAUAUGGAGAUACCACAGCAGCUGUUCAUGCAUAAACAUAUCAAGUUCUUUUGAUGUUUGUAAUCAUAAAAGAAAAAAUAUAUAUUAUGAAAUAUCUGAAAGUGUUCAUUUUUUAAAAAUAAUGAACAACAUGUUCAUGGUAAACAAUAUAGAUUUGUGAACUUUUUGGCUUCACCAUGUAACUGUUUUAAUGUUUAUUUAUCAAUUGUGUGUUCAGUAAACCUGUUAUUUUUUUGCCCAGAUUUGUUUUGUGGUUUGUAUUCCCUUGCAGGACUAGUUACCAUAGAGCCCAGACAGUUUCACAUUUUCCAAGUUUCUGUUUGGCAGUGCUCGUACCUUUAUGUUAUUGAAAUGUUCCCACUGUUUUUGCCAAUAGACCCUGAUUUCUUGACAGAAAUGUGUUACAACUGAAUAAUUAAAAUACCCCUUUUUAUUUUUAUAAUUAUAUUAUGCAUGUAAUGCAUGUUUUAUUUCAGGGAUGUGCAGUAUAUUUUGAUAUGACUACAUGUGUGUAUCCACUCUGUAUAUUGUGUAUACUGGCAUGAAGAUGCAUAUACCAGCACAGUUUAUGUGAAAGCUAAAUUUGCAUUUCCAAAUAUUUUACCUGUCAUAGUUGGAUAUGGAAGUUAAUCUGAUCCCCUGCUUCAUACAUCUUGUUUGCUUCUGGUUUUUGUAUUGUUAAAUGGAUUUUAACUUUCUUUGACUAUUGUUUACUGUUGUUUUGUUGUAUUUCUUCAUAAUUUAUUUUUGUACUUGUUGUUUGAAAUUGUAUUGUGUCUCUUGAUGCUUGAUUUUCAAAUAUUUGAAUAUGUAUGGUUGUUGAAUCUUGUAACCUGAUCCUGUGUUAGAGUAAUAUUGUUUAACGCAUCAAUGCUGAUAUCCGAUGUGGUAGGGUGUGAGUGCUACAGUUUGACCUGACUUCCUG
Molecule: long non-coding RNA, 2820 nt
Organism: Haliotis rubra (blacklip abalone)
Lineage: Eukaryota; Metazoa; Mollusca; Gastropoda; Lepetellida; Haliotidae
Exons: 5
Source: RefSeq, a predicted model, not a curated record